Molecule: ribosomal RNA, 177 nt
Filed under: uncultured bacterium
Lineage: Bacteria
Description: partial 16S ribosomal RNA
Rfam family: Bacterial small subunit ribosomal RNA
Source: RNAcentral
AAGUCGGAAUUGCUGUAAUCGCGGAUCAGCAUGCCGCGGUGAAUACGUUCCCGGGCCUUGUACACACCGCCCGUCACACCAUGGGAGCCGGUAAUACCCGAAGCCUGUGAGCUAACUGUAAAGAGGCAGCAGUCGAAGGUAGAAUCGAUGAUUGGGGUGAAGUCGUAACAAGGUACC